This 2480-nucleotide ribosomal RNA is filed under the name Klebsiella pneumoniae. Its description in RNAcentral is "bacterial LSU rRNA". It matches the Rfam family "Bacterial large subunit ribosomal RNA", at positions 1 to 2482 of the family's 2925-position model. The record is from RNAcentral. Lineage: Bacteria; Pseudomonadati; Pseudomonadota; Gammaproteobacteria; Enterobacterales; Enterobacteriaceae.
GGGUUGUGAGGUUAAGCGACUAAGCGUACACGGUGGAUGCCCUGGCAGUCAGAGGCGAUGAAGGACGUGCUAAUCUGCGAAAAGCGUCGGUAAGGUGAUAUGAACCGUUAUAACCGGCGAUGUCCGAAUGGGGAAACCCAGUGCAAUUCGUUGCACUAUCGUUAACUGAAUACAUAGGUUAACGAGGCGAACCGGGGGAACUGAAACAUCUAAGUACCCCGAGGAAAAGAAAUCAACCGAGAUUCCCCCAGUAGCGGCGAGCGAACGGGGAGCAGCCCAGAGUCUGAAUCAGCUUGUGUGUUAGUGGAACGGUCUGGAAAGUCCGACGGUACAGGGUGAUAGUCCCGUACACCAAAAUGCACAGGUUGUGAACUCGAAGAGUAGGGCGGGACACGUGGUAUCCUGUCUGAAUAUNNGGGGGGACCAUCCUNCCAAGGCUAAAUACUCCUGACUGACCGAUAGUGAACCAGUACCGUGAGGGAAAGGCGAAAAGAACCCCGGCGAGGGGAGUGAAAAAGAACCUGAAACCGUGUACGUACAAGCAGUGGGAGCACCUUCGGGUGUGACUGCGUACCUUUUGUAUAAUGGGUCAGCGACUUAUAUUCUGUAGCAAGGUUAACCGUAUAGGGGAGCCGCAGGGAAACCGNAGNUCUUAACUGGGCGUUAAGUUGCAGGGUAUAGNACCCGAAACCCGGUGAUCUAGCCAUGGGCAGGUUGAAGGUUGGGUAACACUAACUNGGAGGACCGAACCGACUAAUGUUGAAAAAUUAGNCGGAUGACUUGUGGCUGGGGGUGAAAGGCCAAUCAAACCGGGAGAUAGCUGGUUCUCCCCGAAAGCUAUUUAGGUAGCGCCUCGUGAACUCAUCUUCGGGGGUAGAGCACUGUUUCGGCUAGGGGGUCAUCCCGACUUACCAACCCGAUGCAAACUACGAAUACCGAAGAAUGUUAUCACGGGAGACACACGGCGGGUGCUAACGUCCGUCGUGAAGAGGGAAACAACCCAGACCGCCAGCUAAGGUCCCAAAGUCAUGGUUAAGUGGGAAACGANUGUGGGAAGGCACAGNACAGCCAGGAUGUUGGCUUAGAANGCAGCCAUCAUUUAAAGAAAGCGUAAUAGCUCACUGGUCGAGUCGGCCUGCGCGGAAGAUGUAACGGGGCUAAACCAUGCACCGAAGCUGCGGCAGCGACACUAUGUGUUGUUGGGUAGGGGAGCGUUCUGUAAGCCUGCGAAGGUGUGCUGUGAGGCAUGCUGGAGGUAUCAGAAGUGCGAAUGCUGACAUAAGUAACGAUAAAGCGGGUGAAAAGCCCGCUCGCCGGAAGACCAAGGGUUCCUGUCCAACGUUAAUCGGGGCAGGGUGAGUCGACCCCUAAGGCGAGGCCGAAAGGCGUAGUCGAUGGGAAACAGGUUAAUAUUCCUGUACUUGGUGUUACUGCGAANNGGGGGGACGGAGAAGGCUAUGUUAGCCGGGCGACGGUUGUCCCGGUUUAAGCAUGUAGGCUGAUUGUCCAGGCAAAUCCGGAUAAUCAAGGCUGAGGUGUGAUGACGAGGCACUACGGUGCUGAAGUAACAAAUGCCCUGCUUCCAGGAAAAGCCUCUAAGCAUCAGGUAACAUCAAAUCGUACCCCAAACCGACACAGGUGGUCAGGUAGANGAAUACCAAGGCGCUUGAGAGAACUCGGGUGAAGGAACUAGGCAAAAUGGUGCCGUAACUUCGGGAGAAGGCACGCUGGUGUGUNAGGUGAAGUCCCUGCGGAUGGAGCUGAGACCAGUCGAAGAUACCAGCUGGCUGCAACUGUUUAUUANAAAACACAGCACUGUGCAAACACGAAAGUGGACGUAUACGGUGUGACGCCUGCCCGGUGCCGGAAGGUUAAUUGAUGGGGUUAUCCGUAAGGAGAAGCUCUUGAUCGAAGCCCCGGUAAACGGCGGCCGUAACUAUAACGGUCCUAAGGUAGCGAAAUUCCUUGUCGGGUAAGUUCCGACCUGCACGAAUGGCGUAAUGAUGGCCAGGCUGUCUCCACCCGAGACUCAGUGAAAUUGAACUCGCUGUGAAGAUGCAGUGUACCCGCGGCAAGACGGAAAGACCCCGUGAACCUUUACUAUAGCUUGACACUGAACAUUGAGCCUUGAUGUGUAGGAUAGGUNGGGAGGCUUUGAAGCGUGGACGCCAGUCUGCGUGGAGCCAACCUUGAAAUACCACCCUUUAAUGUUUGAUGUUCUAACGUUGGCCCCUGACCGGGGUUGCGGACAGUGUCUGGUGGGUAGUUUGACUGGGGCGGUCUCCUCCCAAAGCGUAACGGAGGAGCACGAAGGUUAGCUAAUCCUGGUCGGACAUCAGGAGGUUAGUGCAAUGGCAUAAGCUAGCUUGACUGCGAGCGUGACGGCGCGAGCAGGUGCGAAAGCAGGUCAUAGUGAUCCGGUGGUUCUGAAUGGAAGGGCCAUCGCUCAACGGAUAAAAGGUACUCCGGGGAUAACAGGC